Molecule: ribosomal RNA, 253 nt
Filed under: uncultured bacterium
Lineage: Bacteria
Description: partial 16S ribosomal RNA
Rfam family: Bacterial small subunit ribosomal RNA
Source: RNAcentral
UACGUAGGGUGCAAGCGUUGUCCGGAAUUAUUGGGCGUAAAGAGCUCGUAGGCGGUUUGUCGCGUCUGCUGUGAAAACUCAGGGCUUAACUCUGAGCUUGCAGUGGGUACGGGCAGACUAGAGUGCGGUAGGGGAGACUGGAAUUCCUGGUGUAGCGGUGAAAUGCGCAGAUAUCAGGAGGAACACCGGUGGCGAAGGCGGGUCUCUGGGCCGAUACUGACGCUGAGGAGCGAAAGCGUGGGGAGCAAACAGG